This 343-nucleotide ribosomal RNA is filed under the name uncultured Ehrlichia sp. RNAcentral's name for it is "bacterial SSU rRNA". It matches the Rfam family "Bacterial small subunit ribosomal RNA", at positions 106 to 486 of the family's 1533-position model. The record is from RNAcentral. Lineage: Bacteria; Pseudomonadati; Pseudomonadota; Alphaproteobacteria; Rickettsiales; Anaplasmataceae.
GUGAGUAUGCGUAGGAUCUACCUAGUAGUACGGAAUAGCCAUUAGAAAUGGUGGGUAAUACUGUAUAAUCCCCGAGGGGGAAAGAUUUAUCGCUAUUAGAUGAGCCUACGUUAGAUUAGCUAGUUGGUGAGGUAAUGGCUUACCAAGGCUAUGAUCUAUAGCUGGUCUGAGAGGACGAUCAGCCACACUGGAACUGAGAUACGGUCCAGACUCCUACGGGAGGCAGCAGUGGGGAAUAUUGGACAAUGGGCGAAAGCCUGAUCCAGCUAUGCCGCGUGAGUGAAGAAGGCCUUCGGGUUGUAAAACUCUUUCAAUAGGGAAGAUAAUGACGGUACCUAUAAAA